RNAcentral lists this long non-coding RNA (994 nucleotides) under Equus caballus (horse). RNAcentral's name for it is "lncRNA (ENSECAG00000050035.1)". Lineage: Eukaryota; Metazoa; Chordata; Mammalia; Perissodactyla; Equidae. The record is from RNAcentral.
GAACGCCCACCUCUGCCUGCAUGCCGCGUGCGCCCCAGGUUGCACCCCUCCUCUCGAGUGGUCCCCGUACGUGGAUGCAUGGGCGACGCGCUGCCCCGCGGAUGUCUGCAGACCUGCCACCCCCGGUUAAGAGGACCAUGCACUCAACAAACAUUUGUGAGGCCUACUGUGGGAAGGCCACGAGACAGCUGGAGCAGUUAUGAUGAGUGUGAUGAGCGCCGUUAAAGGCCCGCCCCGGCUUAUCUACCUAAGGCCAGGCCUGGCAGUGCGGCUACCAUCCAUCUCGAGGUGGCUCCCACACUUGCCGGCUGGCUUCUUCCCCUUCUCCCAGCAGAUGCCCGGGACGCCCUUCCUCCCUAUCACUCGCCACUGGGGUAGCUGUGAAUUAGGCCCCUUCUUUCUCCCAUCACAGUGAUGAUGCUGAUGACGUUUGCGCACAGCUGGACGGCCUUUUGCAAGGGCACAACCAACCUCCCAGCCUGUGUACACUGGCACUAGGAUCUGACAGUGAAAAGAAUGGCUCUGUGUAUGCCCUCCUGGUGCUUAUUUUAGCAAGGAGUUACAUGUGGGGCAGUGUGGAGGGCGGACUGGAAGCAGUUUGAAGAUGGCGAGAGGCCCAGCUGGGCACCAUGAUGGCUUACACUUCGAUAGUGACCGUGCGUGGAGAGCAAGAAGUGAAUUCCUCAUGUUUGGCCUUUUUGGAGAGAACUUUGGCAGUCUCGACUACAAAUGGACAAAUACCCUCAGAAUCAAUAAAUCUACUUGAAUGUCGUGGUUCAUUAACAUCAGACUGGUUACAUGAAUACACAAGGAUGACUCGUGAAACGCUAUGCAGCAGUUAAAAAGAAAGAAGUAGAGCCAAAUGUAUUGUCAUAGAAAGAUUUCCAAGACAUUAGGUGGAAAAAGCAAGUUGCUGGAUAAUACGUACACUUUUACCCCAUUUCUGUAAAAACUAAAUAAAACAAUACAUUUCUAUAUGUAAAUGUAUAGAAAC